GUAGGUGAACCUGCGGAAGGAUCAUUAACACAUGCAUUAGCAUUAAUAAUCCAACCUUUGAUUAGAUGAAAUUCGCACUUAACACCGCUUGCUCCAUUUGCCUUCAUGGCAUACCUUUUUAAGGAAUGAGUAAGGCCUUGAGUGUUAAGUGUUUUUUACUUAUUCACUUAAAAUAAUUCAGAUUGAAAUUAAAAAAAAGAAAAGAAAAUUUUCAACGAUGGAUAUCUGGGUUCCCAUAACGAUGAAGAACGCAGCGAAAUGCGAUACGCAAUGCGAAUAGCAGAGCUCCGCGAGACAUCAGAUCUUUGAACGCAAAUGGCGCUGGCUUGCCAGCAUGUUUGUUUCAGUGUGUUAGGAGAGCAAACCAAUCAUAAAUGAGAAUGCGAUUGAAGCUUUAUAGUUUCUUUCGUUAAAUUAGAAAGUGUGAAGAGCUUCACACUCGUAAACGAAGUAGUCACAAUUCAUUGUGAUCUCGUUUACGAAGAAGCAUCUUAAAAGCACUUUUCAAAAAUUAUCUCCAAAUUCAACACCUGAAAUCAAGCAAGGUCACCCGCUGAACUUAAGCAU
RNAcentral lists this ribosomal RNA (567 nucleotides) under Frontonia elegans. Its description in RNAcentral is "eukaryotic LSU rRNA". The stretch from base 207 to 352 matches the Rfam family "5.8S ribosomal RNA". Lineage: Eukaryota; Ciliophora; Oligohymenophorea; Peniculida; Frontoniidae. The record is from RNAcentral.